UAUACGCAGGUCAAAUUAAACAUUCAGGCACUUUUUUACCAUGGUUUUUUACCUUUUUACCAUUACUAUUUACCUUUUGUACUAUUCCUACCAAAUCCUAUAAAAUAUAAAACUCAACAUUCAAAGUGAAAAAUGUCAGAUAUUCAACAAUUUUUGCGAUGGAUCCAAACAACUUAGACCCGAAUGAAGUAUACAUAGAUGUGGAUGAAGAUAUUGAAACAUUCGAGCUACAUGAUUUCAGUGAAUUUUUCACAAUUUCGACUGCAUUUGAUAGUAAAGAUGCACUAGUCGAGUAGGCGAUGAAUAUGGCCAUCAGUCAUGGACAUGAGAUUAGGCGACAGUCUUACCACGAGGGCCGACAAUAUUUGACUUGCAAAAGAGCCUAUAAGAGUCGAGGAAAAAAUGCAGAGGUCAAAACAAGCCGGAAGUCCGGUUCAAUAAAGUGUAAAUGCCCUUUUGCGCUAUGGGGUAAAGAGGGUCGUGAUGGAUUAUGGCGCCUUACCAUAAAAAAUGGCAAGCACAAUCAUAAUCCUCAUAAAUAUCCACAAGGACUACGUUCGCUAAGUCGCCUGACUAAAGAGCAACGAGAAGUGACAAAGAUACUGAAAAAGAGCCAUGUGAAGCCGAAGGAAAUUUUGCAUCAUCUGAGGCAGAUGAAUCCGGAUACGGCUGCGUCCUUGAGAGAAGUG
This is a non-coding RNA of Erythranthe guttata (spotted monkey flower), 689 nucleotides long. NCBI's taxonomy places the organism in Eukaryota, Viridiplantae, Streptophyta, Magnoliopsida, Lamiales, Phrymaceae. The record is from RefSeq and is a predicted model, not a curated record.